Molecule: ribosomal RNA, 451 nt
Filed under: uncultured bacterium
Lineage: Bacteria
Description: bacterial SSU rRNA
Rfam family: Bacterial small subunit ribosomal RNA
Source: RNAcentral
ACUCCUACGGGAGGCAGCAGUGGGGAAUAUUGCACAAUGGGCGCAAGCCUGAUGCAGCAACGCCGUGUGAGUGAAGAAGGUUUUCGGAUCGUAAAACUCUGUCCUAAGGGAAGAAACAAAUGACGGUACCUUAGGAGGAAGCCCCGGCUAACUACGUGCCAGCAGCCGCGGUAAUACGUAGGGGGCAAGCGUUAUCCGGAAUCACUGGGCGUAAAGGGUGCGUAGGCGGCUUAGCAAGCCAGGGGUGAAAGGCAUUGGCUCAAACCAAUGUAAGCCUUUGGAACUGUUAAGCUUGAGUGCAGGAGAGGUAAGUGGAAUUCCUAGUGUAGAGGUGAAAUUCGUAGAUAUUAGGAGGAACACCAGUGGCGAAGGCGACUUACUGGACUGUAACUGACGCUGAUGCACGAAAGCGUGGGUAGCGAACAGGAUUAGAUACCCUGGUAGCACAGAG